Molecule: long non-coding RNA, 790 nt
Filed under: Phasianus colchicus (ring-necked pheasant)
Lineage: Eukaryota; Metazoa; Chordata; Aves; Galliformes; Phasianidae
Description: lncRNA (ENSPCLG00000020176.1)
Source: RNAcentral
AUGUUCUCCCCGUCCCUACGGAGCCCCUGUCCCUCUGGUGUCCCUCUGGUGUCCCUCUGGUGUCCCUCUGGUGUCCCUAUGGUGUCCCUAUGGUGCCCCUGUCCCUACGGUGCCCCUGUCCCUAUAAGGGUCCCUAUGGUGUCCCUAUGGUGGCCCUGUCCCUAUGGUGCCCCUGUCCCUAAGAAUGCCCCUGUCCCUAUGAGAUCCCUAUGGUGUCCCUGUCCCUACGAAGCCGCUGUCCCUAUGGUGUCCCUCUGGUGUCCCUAUGGUGUCCCUGCCCCUAUGGUGUCCCUAUGGUGUCCCUAUGGUGUCCCUCUGGUGUCCCUGUCCCUAUGGUGCCCCUGUCCCUAUAAGGGUCCCUCUGGUUUCCCUAUGGUGUCCCUGUCCCUAUGGGGGUCCCUGUCCCUAACGGUGUCCCUAUGGUGUCCCUCUGGUCCCCCUGUCCCUAUNNNNNNNNNNNNNNNNNNNNNNNUGAUGCCCCGUCCCUGUGGGGUCCCCGUCCCUCUGGGUCCCCCUGGUGUCCCUCCGGCUCCCCCGUCCCUGUGGUCCCCGGCCGCCCCCAACCCCCGCCGUCCCGCAGCGCUCGUCGCGGCGCUCGCUGUUCGUGGCGGCGGCGGCGCGGCACCAGCAGUUGUACCGCCUGGCCAUGACGGGCGCCGGCAUCGACCGCCACCUCUUCUGCCUCUACGUGGCGUCGCGGUACCUCGGCGUGCGGUCCGCCUUCCUCGAUCACGUGAGCGGCGGGGGGGGCGGGGGGGCGAUGGGGGGUGAUGGGGGUGGGGGGGGAUGG